AUUAUUAUUAUUAUUAUUAUUACAAAAGUAGAUAAAAGGGCGAGUUGUACUUAGUCACUCAAGUUCAACAGAAAAUUCAUGUCUAGAUUCAAUUCAACAUGAAUAUAAGACAUAAAUAUGUAAGACUUAUAUCUUUAAUACUAAGUACAAGUUUCAGCUUUCAUCAAGGCUUACAAUAAAGUGAAGUACCAUCAGAAAGGUGAAGGGUGCAGUUCUUGGGAGCCAAGCAGCAGUUGCACCUGGGGCUAAGCUUCUUAUCCCCUGAAGACUGGCAAGUCAUGUAGUCUACAUCCAAGCAAUAAAGAGGGCAAGCUAUGGCUCUCCCACUCCCAGGAAUGAUCCCUAAUGAAAUAGUACCUGAAAUUAAUUGCAGAGGGAAGAAAAAUUACAAACAAAUCAGUCAAUUAAAAAGAAAUCUGAGAUUCAACUCUUUUCCAUUUAUGUUCCUCGUGUCAACUGCACAACCAACAGUGUGCAGCUUAAGUUUAGGAAGCAACUUUUUGAAGAAGAGAUUAGAGGAUCUAAAUCAGUACCAAAUCGGAUGAAAUCGCAAAAAAUAAUCCAUAUAAUCGAAUUAAUAUGAUAUUUUACAAUUUAAGUAUACCAUAGAGAGAAGAACUAAGAAAGCAUACCAUAGAGAAAGAGAAGAAGUAUGACACCGGCUCUGAAACCACCCAUUCUCUGCUUCCAGUUAUGAAUUAUGGAAGGAUUGAUUGAUGUUUUUAUUUUAAGUGGGAAGGAUUGGAAAAUUGAUAUGCCCAUUUGCAAUAUCAAUAAUCAUUAUCCAUUGGUUAAGUCAACAGCACUAGCAGUGAUUGCUGACUUUGAUAUAUAUAUGCUAAGUGGGGUAAUUAGUGCACCAAAUUAAUUAAUAACCCAUGUAUGGUAGUGGAGAGAAGAUUGAAAUUAAAGUCUGCAUCAUGCGUAAUCUUUAUGUCAACUACGCAACCAAUAGUGACAUAGUUGACUAAAGAUUGAGCAGUAGCAUAGUAAUUAAUUACCCUUUUUCAAUUGAGUGAGAUGGUUGAGUGGAUUAAAGUAUCGGAUUGUUAAUCCGUUGUGCGAUGGUAAUUUUAUCUAUUACUUUAUUAUAAAAAAUUAAUUUAGUUUAAAAAUUAAAAUUUAUGAGUUAA
This 1133-nucleotide unclassified non-coding RNA is filed under the name Hevea brasiliensis (rubber tree). The stretch from base 1015 to 1086 matches the Rfam family "tRNA". Lineage: Eukaryota; Viridiplantae; Streptophyta; Magnoliopsida; Malpighiales; Euphorbiaceae. The record is from RNAcentral.